Long non-coding RNA from Maylandia zebra (zebra mbuna), 895 nucleotides. RefSeq lists it as uncharacterized. The record is from RefSeq and is a predicted model, not a curated record. Lineage: Eukaryota; Metazoa; Chordata; Actinopteri; Cichliformes; Cichlidae.
CUGGAGCAUUACAUGUGUGUGUCAGACACAUUUCCAAGGAAGAAACACACGUGAGAACCAAAGGUUUCCGGUCAUCAAGAUUUUGAAGGCCUGCAGUGAAAAAGCAACUGGGAGUCUGGUGGCAGGGUCCCCUCUGGUGCUUUCUAUCAAACAUCCACACACAAGCAGACCCUGAUCGGAGCCCAAGUAAUCUCUGGCUUGAAGAAUGAAGCAGCAAGGGAUUGAACCACCAACCUCCUCAGCUACAGCCUACACGACAGAAAAACACGACAGACCCACUGUGAUCAUCUUUAUUUGGUACGGUUGCUGGACACACAGAGCUGCAGCUCUCCCGCUGCCAGCUCAACCUAACACACAACAACAUUCGCCAAAAACUCUAAACUUUUAAGCCGGCGAGGCGUGAUUGCAGGUGUCGCUCAGGUGGGUCAAUCGCACCUGCAUCAUCACCGCAAACCACGCCCCGCCACAACCGCCCAUCACCGGACUGUGGCCAGGGAACCACCCGGCCGAACCUACUCCCCCUCCCCCAGGAGCGGGAACCGACCCCAGCCCCUGGGCCAGCAGCAGGGAGGUACUAUCUGUUCUGGUGGCCGCCCACGCAUCUAGCGGUGCCGGUGAUGAGGUGGGUCCGGGAGUCGCCCGCGUAUCCAGUGGCAGCCCCACCCAUGUGGCAAGCAGCGGCGCAGCCGGUGUGGCAUCCAGCAUGCCGGACGCCGGCCUCUGGUGGAGGUGAGGCCGCUCUGCUCAGCACAUCGACCUCGGGCUUUGGUGGCGUGGACUCCCCUAGCACGGCUGGAGCGGCUCCCUGAAAGUCCAUGUUAAUGAUCCGAUUUAAACUCCCAUCUUAGCAACGCAGAACCUGAAAUAUCUCUGCUUACAUUUACAUGUCAGAAGC